GGUAGCGAUAUACUAACAACGCGUUUUUGACAACGCUUUUGACAACACCACGUGUCGCGUUGUAAUUGGUUGCAUUUAAAUAUAUAUUUUUUUUAAAAUGAAAAUCUUAUUUUGAGGGGUUCAGAAUGAAUUUCCGAAACUGCCCCGUUUCAUUUUUUCACUGAAACCUCUGUCUAGAAGGGUUGGUUCUCACUCCUAGGGUUCAUUUUCAAAUUUGUGUUCUCUCUCCUUCGCAGUUCUUCUCCUUCGCACUCUCGUUGCUUUGUCCUUCGUAGUCUCGUUCUUGACCUUUGGACUCUCUUUUCCAUCUUCCAUUUUCAGGUUUUUUAUUUUCAUUUCAAUUUGUGUGUUUGUUGUGUUGACCGUGUGCCCCUUUGAAUUGGUGUGGUGUUCGUUUGGUUGUGGAGUUCGUGGUCUGCUUUAACCGGUCUCCGUGGAAGGGUUGUUUGGAGUUUGUGGUUCUUUCUUCGUUAUUUUGUGCAAUGGCUUCGACCCCUGACAUUGGUUCUUCCAACAAGGUAAGUACUUCAUUCGUUUGAUGUAUUCGUUGUGUGUUUUGUUGGUUUUCAUGAAGCUCUGUCUUUUUG
Molecule: long non-coding RNA, 587 nt
Filed under: Vigna radiata
Lineage: Eukaryota; Viridiplantae; Streptophyta; Magnoliopsida; Fabales; Fabaceae
Description: long non-coding RNA (VRAD_LNC002206)
Source: RNAcentral